GCAGUUAAAAAGCUCGUAGUUGGAUUUCGGGAUGGGCCAGUCGGUCCGCCUAAUGGUGUGUUUACUGGCUGGUCUGUUCUUCUUCGCAAAGACUGCGUGUGCACUUUACUGUGUGUGCGUAGGAUUUACGACGUUUACUUUGAAAAAAUUAGAGUGUUCAAAGCAGGCAUACCGCUUGAAUACAUGAGCAUGGAAUAAUGGAAUAGGACUUUGGUCUUAUUUUGUUGGUUUCUGAGACCGAAGUAAUGAUUAAGAGGGACAGUUGGGGGCAUUCGUAUUUCGUUGUCAGAGGUGAAAUUCUUGGAUUUACGAAAGACGAACAAUUGCGAAAGCAUUUGCCAAGAAUGUUUUCAUUAAUCAAGAACCGAAAGUUAGAGGAUCGAAGACGAUCAGAUACCGUCCUAGUUCUAACCAUAAACGAUGUC
RNAcentral lists this ribosomal RNA (425 nucleotides) under uncultured eukaryote. RNAcentral describes it as "SSU rRNA". It matches the Rfam family "Eukaryotic small subunit ribosomal RNA", at positions 615 to 1043 of the family's 1831-position model. The record is from RNAcentral.